Molecule: ribosomal RNA, 223 nt
Filed under: uncultured bacterium
Lineage: Bacteria
Description: partial 16S ribosomal RNA
Rfam family: Bacterial small subunit ribosomal RNA
Source: RNAcentral
GGCCUAUCAGCUAGUUGGUGAGGUAAUGGCUCACCAAGGCGACGACGGGUAGCCGGCCUGAGAGGGUGACCGGCCACACUGGAACUGAGACACGGUCCAGACUCCUACGGGAGGCAGCAGUGGGGAAUAUUGCACAAUGGGCGAAAGCCUGAUGCAGCAACGCCGCGUGAGGGAUGAAGGCCUUCGGGUUGUAAACCUCUUUUAGCAGGGAAGAAGCGAAAGU